AAGUUGGCCAUGAAAAUAGAGGGUGGAAUCGACAAACAUAUUCUACAAAUCCAGGAUCUUAUAACCAGAAAAACAUCUGCCGGAAAAAAGGACCAAAUGGCUGCACAGCUCAGCGGAGGAGGAUUGCCGCAUUCGAUGCCGGCUGUUGAAGGCAUGCCGACUGGAAUUGGAAUCUGAAUUAGAAUGGCUCCCUCCUGAUUUGGGGGGGGGCGUGCACAAAUAUUAAUCAUUCCACCGCAAAAAGCUGGCAAAACAGUAAACACCAAACGGCGAUGGGAGAAACAGGGAGAGAGUGAGAGAGGGAGAGAGAGAGAGAGAGAGCCGAGACCGGGACCAUAAAAUAAUAGGAUGGACUGAGAUGGGCACUGAACUAACAUUUACCUUGGCUGGCCAAAAAUAAAUCCUGAGAAAAAGAAAACAGUUUACAAAUGGCGUCCAUAUCGCAGGUAUUAAUACAUUUUGCCAACAGGCUGUCCUUAUUUUUAGAAAGAAAAGCGUAUUUU
Non-coding RNA from Drosophila melanogaster (fruit fly), 503 nucleotides. Lineage: Eukaryota; Metazoa; Arthropoda; Insecta; Diptera; Drosophilidae. The record is from Ensembl.